RNAcentral lists this transfer RNA (71 nucleotides) under Streptococcus agalactiae 18RS21. RNAcentral describes it as "tRNA-Gly". It matches the Rfam family "tRNA". Rfam says of the family: Transfer RNA (tRNA) molecules are approximately 80 nucleotides in length. Their secondary structure includes four short double-helical elements and three loops (D, anti-codon, and T loops). Further hydrogen bonds mediate the characteristic L-shaped molecular structure. tRNAs have two regions of fundamental functional importance: the anti-codon, which is responsible for specific mRNA codon recognition, and the 3' end, to which the tRNAs corresponding amino acid is attached (by aminoacyl-tRNA synthetases). tRNAs cope with the degeneracy of the genetic code in two manners: having more than one tRNA (with a specific anti-codon) for a particular amino acid; and 'wobble' base-pairing, i.e. permitting non-standard base-pairing at the 3rd anti-codon position. The record is from RNAcentral. Lineage: Bacteria; Bacillati; Bacillota; Bacilli; Lactobacillales; Streptococcaceae.
GCGGGUGUAGUUUAGUGGUAAAACUACAGCCUUCCAAGCUGUUGUCGCGAGUUCGAUGUAAAUCACCCGCU